RNAcentral lists this ribosomal RNA (496 nucleotides) under uncultured bacterium. RNAcentral describes it as "partial 16S ribosomal RNA". It matches the Rfam family "Bacterial small subunit ribosomal RNA", at positions 28 to 506 of the family's 1533-position model. The record is from RNAcentral.
GAUGAACGCUGGCGGCGUGCCUAAUACAUGCAAGUCGAGCGAACAGAUGAGGAGCUUGCUCCUCUGACGUUAGCGGCGGACGGGUGAGUAACACGUGGAUAACCUACCUAUAAGACUGGGAUAACUUCGGGAAACCGGAGCUAAUACCGGAUAAUAUAUUGAACCGCAUGGUUCAAUAGUGAAAGACGGUUUUGCUGUCACUUAUAGAUGGAUCCGCGCCGCAUUAGCUAGUUGGUAAGGUAACGGCUUACCAAGGCAACGAUGCGUAGCCGACCUGAGAGGGGGAUCGGCCACACUGGAACUGAGACGCGGUCCAGACCCCUACGGGAGGCAGCAGUGGGGAAUCUUCCGCAAUGGGCGAAAGCCUGGCGGAGCAACGCCGCGUGAGUGAGGAAGGUCUUCGGAUCGUAAAACUCUGUUAUUAGGGAAGAAAAAAUGUGUAAGUAAAUAUGCACGUUUUGACGGUACCAAAUCAGAAAGCCACGGCUAACUACGU